UACGGAGGGUGCAAACGUUGCUCGGAAUUAUUGGGCGUAAAGCGCACGUAGGCGGCCCAGCAAGUCGGGUGUGAAAGCCCUCGGCUUAACCGAGGAAGUGCAUUCGAAACUACUGAGCUUGAAUACUGGAGAGGAUCGCGGAAUUCCCGGUGUAGAGGUGAAAUUCGUAGAUAUCGGGAGGAACACCAGUGGCGAAGGCGGCGAUCUGGACAGAUAUUGACGCUGAGGUGCGAAAGCGUGGGGAGCAAACAGG
This 253-nucleotide ribosomal RNA is filed under the name uncultured bacterium. RNAcentral describes it as "partial 16S ribosomal RNA". It matches the Rfam family "Bacterial small subunit ribosomal RNA", at positions 524 to 776 of the family's 1533-position model. The record is from RNAcentral.